AGGAAACAUUUCAUUGGGGAAGAAGAACACAAGCAAAAUCCUAACCCUCACUUUAAUUUCAAACCCAUGUAACUUUUGAUCCGGAGCUCCGAUUGACGAAUCGUUUGCGACCACGCGUUCACCGCGAUGAGCUCUAUGAAACUCAUUAAACAAUUUGGCUCAAGUUAACUUCCGGAACUUGUGGGCUCAAGUUAUUGAGUAUAUGGGUAUGGUUAAGUGGGUGUUUAUGCAUUGGAUUUGAAUUGGGAUUACUUGGAGGUUCGUUGGUGACCAAGACUUGUUUUGGGGCUAUUUGAUUGAGCUUGAAGGGGCUGUAAUUGUGUGUUGUGAGGCUGCCUUGGUGAAUUAAGUGAUCGGCCAAGGUCGAGAGGCUCCUCGCUAGGCGUCUGGAUACUGGAAAGUGAAGUAGUCCUUGGGUUUAUUUUGGCUUCUGGCUAUAUAUAUAUGUAUAUAUAUGUUUAGCUUACUCUCCAAGUAACUUAUGUAUGCUGCUCCUCUUAGAGGUUGAGGAAGAGAUAGGAGUUAUUUUGAUAUUAUAGUGUAUUUUGGGAUAUUUUGAGAACACUUAUGUAUGUUUAUAUGUAUA
This is a long non-coding RNA of Arachis duranensis, 586 nucleotides long. RefSeq lists it as uncharacterized. NCBI's taxonomy places the organism in Eukaryota, Viridiplantae, Streptophyta, Magnoliopsida, Fabales, Fabaceae. The transcript has 4 exons. The record is from RefSeq and is a predicted model, not a curated record.